RNAcentral lists this ribosomal RNA (422 nucleotides) under uncultured bacterium. RNAcentral's name for it is "partial 16S ribosomal RNA". It matches the Rfam family "Bacterial small subunit ribosomal RNA", at positions 355 to 774 of the family's 1533-position model. The record is from RNAcentral.
UGAGGAAUAUUGGUCAAUGGGUGCAAGCCUGAACCAGCCAUCCCGCGUGAAGGACGACUGCCCUAUGGGUUGUAAACUUCUUUUGUAUAGGGAUAAACCUACCCUCGUGAGGGUAGCUGAAGGUACUAUACGAACAAGCACCGGCUAACUCCGUGCCAGCAGCCGCGGUAAUACGGAGGGUGCAAGCGUUAUCCGGAUUUAUUGGGUUUAAAGGGUCCGUAGGCGGACUUAUAAGUCAGUGGUGAAAGCCUGUCGCUUAACGAUAGAACUGCCAUUGAUACUGUAAGUCUUGAGUAUAUUUGAGGUAGCUGGAAUAAGUAGUGUAGCGGUGAAAUGCAUAGAUAUUACUUAGAACACCAAUUGCGAAGGCAGGUUACCAAGAUAUAACUGACGCUGAGGGACGAAAGCGUGGGGAGCGAACA